UUACGGGGGGUUAGAAACGUAAAAAAAAAUCGGUUUUUUUGUUUGUUCACAAGGGGCUGGUUGUAAUUUCAAUAGCCUUUUAGAUUACUUUUGCAUUUGAUUCAAGUUUGGGUUUACUUUUGCAUUAUAAAUCAAGUUGUGAGUCACAUUUGGCAAUUUUCCCUUCUUAGUUAUGUAUGAUCUGAUAGUUGCAGUGAUUUGUGUGGUAAAAAUUAUAUAUAUAGGCGACCAAAAAGUAGCGGCUAUAGGUUAUUUGUGCGUCGAUAUGGAUGACAACCUAUGGUCUAGCUCUUAAUGUCAAAACAGAUUUAACAUCUUUCAACCCUAAAGUGCGAUGUUGAAUAGGAAACCUUCAUGUUGGAAGCAUUAAGGAUUUCAUUGAGGAUGGAAAACAGGUAAGAGAGGACAUAUGCUAUGAUAAGCUUCGACAAUUUAUAGUUGAUAGAUAUAGCUCGAUAGUUGUUACUCAAGGAGUUCUCUGAAGUUUUACAAUGUUAAAUCGAAAAGCAAACAUUUACAAGGGUACCAUGGUCCAUGGUUCUUGAUUAGAAAGUUUUUAUUUCAUUUUCUGGUUGUGAAGGGAACUUUAUGUGGACACGGUGUUAAUAGUGAAAACAUAGGUUUUGUUUGGCUGUUUGUGAUGUUGUCGGCUUCCUGUAGUUAUAUAUGUGGGAGAUUGGUCAGUCUUUCUAUUUCUCUCUCCACAUCGUAAACUUCCCUCCAAAGAAAACUUAUCCCUUUUUUGGAUUGACCACAAACGAUGUCUCUGGAGUAUGCUUUCUCCAUGAGUUUCUGCUCCUUCUCCAAAGCAAUCACCUUUAAGAGAGAAGCCUUAUCCUUUCACAGAAUCAUCACCUCUGGAGCAAAGGCAAUUACAGGAGAUGGUGAAGUUGAACCCCAGAAAAAGAUAAGCUCUGAUCUCAAGAGGGUUUACUACAAGAAUGAGGAAAUUGAGACCCAAGUUAAGUAUUCUACUCACAAUGGUAGCAGAGUAAUAGCAAGAAGACUAUCUAUUAUGGAUAGAAGCAAGGCCAUAGCAAAGCUGGAAUCAUUAGGAAAAGAAGUGAGAAACGCAGGCUAUGCUCCAGAGACGAAGACUAUGUUUCUUGAAAACUUGCUUCGGAUAUAAAAAUCAGCCGUUCCUAAUGGAAUAGAGGAUAUUUUCGGUCGAACAGAGACGAAAGUCGGCCAUAGUGAUCCGAGAGUCCCGUGUGGAAGGGCUCUCGCUCAUGCAUACAUUUGUCUCAUACACUAUGGGGAUGGUGAGAAGAGAUAUGUUCUUCAUAACAUCGAUGACGAAGCUAAAGAGAAAGCAUUGAUGAAUCACAGCAAACGGUUAGCUAUUGCUUUUGGGCUUAUAAACACGAGUCCUCCUGGAUUAGAGUGAUGAAGAAUUUUAGGAUAUGUGGAGGUUGCCACAACUUAAUGAAGAUAUUAUCCAGCAUUGAAGAUAGAAAUACUAGAGAAUGUUUGCUACCCUAAAAUUUUCUUAUCUUUCUUAGAACGAUGUGCGCCUAAGUGCGAAAACAUUUUUGUAUUGUUAGAACCUUUUGAAUCAUUGUACUACUUGAUUCAAAAGGUUUUGAAAAUAUACCCGAUCUAAUUAAAUGUUAAAAAUAGAUCUCAUUGUAAGAGAUAACAAGAGGUUUCAUCA
Brassica napus (rape) is the source of this 1654-nucleotide long non-coding RNA. RefSeq lists it as uncharacterized. The record is from RefSeq and is a predicted model, not a curated record. Lineage: Eukaryota; Viridiplantae; Streptophyta; Magnoliopsida; Brassicales; Brassicaceae. The transcript is spliced from 2 exons.